Spinacia oleracea (spinach) is the source of this 3047-nucleotide long non-coding RNA. RefSeq lists it as uncharacterized. NCBI's taxonomy places the organism in Eukaryota, Viridiplantae, Streptophyta, Magnoliopsida, Caryophyllales, Amaranthaceae. The transcript has 2 exons. The record is from RefSeq and is a predicted model, not a curated record.
CCCUUUCUCCCACUCAUUAAAUUUAUCAUUUUUGUCAUUGUAAUUAUUAUUGACAUUAUUUUUUAUGUUUACCUUGAUCUAUUAAUUUUAUUUAGCUUAAUUCUCUUCAAUAAUCUUUUGCAUUUUCUUCAUUAAUUCUUCCUCUUUCUCAUUAAUUUUGGAUUAUGAGAUCUGGGUUUAUUUUGAUGAUAUUUGUUGAUUGAUUAUUUCUUUUUGUAUUGGGUUUUAAUUUAUGUUGUUUUUGGUUAAUUUAUGAAACUUAUGAUAAAAUUGGGUUGAGAGCACUGGAGGCAGCGGUUCAUCGAUCUGUUCCUGAAUUGGGUAUUCGUUAAAUUCAUUGCAGUAAUCGAUCGAUAAACCUCUGCAUCCAGCGCUUUAUAACUAUUUUAAUUUAUUCUAAGAUGCAUUCUCUUUGUGGGUUUUGAUUAAUUAGGAAUUUGAUUAUGUUCUCUAGACUAAACAUAUAUACUUUAUUUUGGUGUGUAAUCUUGAUUUUAAUUGUUGUGGUUUCAAUCAAUGAUGCUUAUAUUAGCUUUGAUCAGCUGAAAAUUACUCCGUAACAUACUAUUCACCUGCUCAGGGUGAAUUUUCAUGUGUUUUUUUUAUUGUCAUUUGUCAAGAACUAAUGGUAAAAUCUUGAUGUUGGAGUAGCCUAGACUAGAAAACAACCACCUAGCAUGGUUACCUUGAACCAGUUGAUGCUAAAGUGAUAUUUGAAAGAUCCAUAGGGGGUGGCCAAAUGGGGGAAUGAAGGCUGAUAGGUUCUUGAGAUCGAAUUAGGAAUCAUGUUUAGGGAUUCUGAUCGUUUUUUUUGCUGGUUAGUUGCUGUCUAGGGAGUGUAUGCUAAACCUAGUUUGAUUUUGAUCUGUUUUUGUGUACACAGUUGAGCAAGGUCCUAUUUUUUGGUUCCGAAUGGGCCACAAGGACAAUACAAAUUACAGCUGAGAGAGGGGGGAUUCGAACCUGUGGCCUCGUACAUAGGCCCUCAGUGUUAACCACUAGACUAAGACAUCAUGGGUCCUUUAUGAUAUUCGACAAUUUUCAUUUAGCCUACUCUAUGAACUUUAUGCCAUUAACACAUGUAGUUGAUGAUCAAUGAGCAUAAUAUAGGAAUUAUGUUUUAUGCAGCUAUAAUAAGCUUAUCUCUUCUUCAUUAAAACCAUAUGGAUUCGAUUUUGGUGGAAUGGCUAGGCUUUCUGAACCAUAUGCUUUCAGAUUUUCUCUUGAAAUUUGAUCAAUGGAGAAUGUAAAAGUGGAGAAUAGAUGAACAGAAUGAACCAACUACAUCGGUUGCAUGACUCAUGUUCUUUUUAAAUCAAGCUGAAUGAAAUUGUUAUAUUGUUGUAUUUCGAGUUGUGUUACUGUGUUAGUUACUCACUGGAAAAUCUAAUAACAGCCGAAUACCCGAUGAUAAGAGAAAUGGUUGAACUCUAGAUGCUGCAGCCUGCAGUCAUAUUGUUACGUAUUUUCUUGUUUACGACUUUGUAUAGGAUUUAGUGUUUUUUGGCUGCUCAGGUUCUUGAAUAUAGUUGAGCUGUGCAAGUUUGCAGUAACAGUUAAGUUCAGGCAUUUGUAAAACAGCGAGCAAGGGAGAUUGCAUAGUAUUACUUCAUAGCAUUCAAUAUAUACUGGUAGAGUGGUAGAUGGUGUUCUCAGGUGUGCCAAGAAAGUUGAUCCCUGCUUGGCAGUUGGCACGUGCACGACAUGUACACGUGGAGGGGCGUGUGUGGCUCAUGGCGCAUGAGAGACACUAACACACACCGCUCCAUGUGCCUGCCGGGAAUCACAAUUAUAGGUUGUUCAGGUGCCAAAACUAGCUUCAGGAGGAAGUCCGGGAAACUUUCAGGUGAAAUUGCUCCCAUGAGAGUCAAGUGAAAACUACAGUUUGUCAACAGAGAAUCUUUGUUGCUAUCAUAGUGUAGACUUUGAGACCAUCAUUUAUAGUUAUAGCAGUAUCUAUUAAUGGCAGUCUUAUAAUUUGAGAUUCUGUCUUCUUUCUUGGAUAAAGUUUCUCACUAGGAAUUGGGAAAUUCUGAUUCUACGGCUGGUGCUGGUUGGAGUUAUUUGCGGUUGUCCUUAUUUGAGUAUUUCCUCCGUCCCUUUUUAUUUGCCAAAUUUUCUGUUUUUGGUCCGUUCCUGAAAAGCUAAAAGAUUUCCCCAUGAAACCGUAACUUUAUUCUAACAUAAAAUACAUUUGUUCCUACCGCUUUUGUUUCUUCUUAAUUUCCGAAGUAAAAAAUGGCUUGGGGGUAAUUAGGGAAGGAGGAAAUGUAUUUGAAUCAUUCAACAGUUGCCAAGUGGAAGAAUCAGCAAGGUUGACAUUCUUACAAAGUCUCAAGGAGUUGCUUAUUUCUGAGGAAAAAUUAACAUCCAACUAUGGGCGACCUUCUUUAAAAGGUCUAACCUUUUGAAUAACUAAAGACACUUCUAUUUCUAAACGUAAUCUUUUAUCUUUUUUACUCCGUAAAAGUUGGAUACUUGGAUAGCUUGAGUUAAUUCUACGGGUUUGUUAGUUUCAAGAAUGAUGUUUAUCCGUUUUCGAAAAUAGUUAAAUCUAUUUUGAUUCGUUAACUUUCAAACCCGAUUCGAUCUGACAUGUUAGUCAAAUGAAUCUGUUCUAACCUAAUUUGUUUUUACCUCGAUGAACCGAAAAAAUCUGAUCUGUUGAUGACACCCCUAAUUCAACAUCAUCAGAGUACACAUUCUAAUCGGAGGGUGUUGGUGUACACACUCAUGAUCUCACUGCUGGUAUGAUCAACUCAACCUUACAGCAAUGCAGCAAGCAACAUUCGUGCACAAGCUCACCUCAAGCAACAACAGCUAACUGCGUCUGCAUCACAACCUUCUAGAAUAUUCAGUGUAACUGAAUUCUGUUAGAGUAGUUGUUAGCUUUUAUUUCUGUAAUAAAGAGUGUUAGUUAGAGCUUGCUGAUGUGUCAGUUUGGAGCACGUUGAUUGGCUCCAACACGUCACCUAAUCAUUGUAUAUAAGGCCAAUCAUGCUGUAAUCAUUAUUCAUUCAUUCAAUAAGAAAAUUAUCUCUCUCUCC